This 468-nucleotide ribosomal RNA is filed under the name uncultured bacterium. RNAcentral's name for it is "partial 16S ribosomal RNA". It matches the Rfam family "Bacterial small subunit ribosomal RNA", at positions 28 to 507 of the family's 1533-position model. The record is from RNAcentral.
GACGAACGCUGGCGGCGUGCUUAACACAUGCAAGUCGAACGGAAAGGCCCUGCUUUCGUGGGGUGCUCGAGUGGCGAACGGGUGAGUAACACGUGAGUAACCUGCCCUUGACUUUGGGAUAACUUCAGGAAACUGGGGCUAAUACCGGAUAGGAGCUCCUGCUGCAUGGUGGGGGUUGGAAAGUUUCGGCUGUUGGGGAUGGACUCGCGGCUUAUCAGCUUGUUGGUGGGGUAGUGGCUUACCAAGGCUUCGACGGGUAGCCGGCCUGAGAGGGUGAACGGCCACAUUGGGACUGAGAUACGGACCAGACUCCUACGGGAGACAGCAGUGGGGAGUAUUGUACAAUGGGCGGAAGCGUGAUGAGGAAGCGCCGGGUGCGGGAUGACGGCCUUCGGGUUGUAAACCGCAUUCGCCUGUGACGAAGCGUGAGUGACGGUACUGGGUGAAGAAGCACCGGCUAACUACGUG